This 353-nucleotide unclassified non-coding RNA is filed under the name soil metagenome. RNAcentral's name for it is "partial contains 5.8S ribosomal RNA, internal transcribed spacer 2, and large subunit ribosomal RNA". The stretch from base 1 to 120 matches the Rfam family "5.8S ribosomal RNA", at positions 35 to 154 of the family's 154-position model. The record is from RNAcentral.
GAUGAAGAACGUAGUGAAAUGCGAUAAGUAAUGUGAAUUGCAGAAUUCAGUGAAUCAUCGAAUCUUUGAACGCACAUUGCGCCCGCCAGUAUUCUGGCGGGCAUGCCUGUUCGAGCGUCAUUACAACCCUCAGGCCCCCGGGCCUGGCGUUGGGGAUCGGCGGAAGCCCCCUGCGGGCACAACGCCGUCCCCCAAAUACACUGGCGGUCCCGCCGCAGCUUCCAUUGCGUAGUAGCUAACACCUCGCAACUGGAGAGCGGCGCGGCCACGCCGUAAAACACCCAACUUCUGAAUGUUGACCUCGAAUCAGGUAGGAAUACCCGCUGAACUUAAGCAUAUCAAUAAGCGGAGGA